This 639-nucleotide ribosomal RNA is filed under the name Staphylococcus epidermidis. Its description in RNAcentral is "bacterial SSU rRNA". It matches the Rfam family "Bacterial small subunit ribosomal RNA", at positions 51 to 673 of the family's 1533-position model. The record is from RNAcentral. Lineage: Bacteria; Bacillati; Bacillota; Bacilli; Caryophanales; Staphylococcaceae.
AUACAUGCAGUCGAGCGAACAGACGAGGAGCUUGCUCCUCUGACGUUAGCGGCGGACGGGUGAGUAACACGUGGAUAACCUACCUAUAAGACUGGGAUAACUUCGGGAAACCGGAGCUAAUACCGGAUAAUAUAUUGAACCGCAUGGUUCAAUAGUGAAAGACGGUUUUGCUGUCACUUAUAGAUGGAUCCGCGCCGCAUUAGCUAGUUGGUAAGGUAACGGCUUACCAAGGCAACGAUGCGUAGCCGACCUGAGAGGGUGAUCGGCCACACUGGAACUGAGACACGGUCCAGACUCCUACGGGAGGCAGCAGUAGGGAAUCUUCCGCAAUGGGCGAAAGCCUGACGGAGCAACGCCGCGUGAGUGAUGAAGGUCUUCGGAUCGUAAAACUCUGUUAUUAGGGAAGAACAAAUGUGUAAGUAACUAUGCACGUCUUGACGGUACCUAAUCAGAAAGCCACGGCUAACUACGUGCCAGCAGCCGCGGUAAUACGUAGGUGGCAAGCGUUAUCCGGAAUUAUUGGGCGUAAAGCGCGCGUAGGCGGUUUUUUAAGUCUGAUGUGAAAGCCCACGGCUCAACCGUGGAGGGUCAUUGGAAACUGGAAAACUUGAGUGCAGAAGAGGAAAGUGGAAUUCCAUG